Pelodiscus sinensis (Chinese soft-shelled turtle) is the source of this 1566-nucleotide non-coding RNA. The record is from RefSeq and is a predicted model, not a curated record. Lineage: Eukaryota; Metazoa; Chordata; Testudines; Trionychidae.
UAGAAGACGCGCUCGUCGGGCCGCAGGUCGGCGGGGGGCUUCUCCCUCACGAAGGGCUUUCGGUGCAGCAGCGGCAUCGCCCCGCUCCGCGCGCUCCUUCCUGCCCCGGCCCGCUUCAAAUUGGAGGGAAAAGGAGACCAGGCAGCUAAGGGCUCCAUCUCCACCCUGGACCCUCCACCCCAGGAGCGUGUAGUCACACAGACUGUCACUGAGGGUGCAGCAGCCUGGACCACCACCAUCUGGAGAGAAGCGGAGUCUCCUCCUGCCAGAGAUUGUGGGGCUGGCACUAUGAACAAAACUUUCUCUCCAUCCAAAGAUCAAGAGGAGCUGAUGUACCCCCUGGAAGACCUCUGCAUACCCUGAGAGAUACGUGUCCCUCUGGUUCAGAAUCACUGAACGCAAAUUAAAACCUGGGUCAUCACUAGGAAUUAGGCCAGCAUAAUUACAUCACAUAGGGUUGUUAAAAACCCCUAUAUUCCUGAAUGAUGCAGUUAAAAUCAACCUAACUCCAGCACUAUGUCUAGAAUUUUCCAAUAGAGUGGAGGUGGAUUACCUAUGUAUUUUAAAUGUAGACAACCCCUAAUUGUUGCCAUGAAGACAAACUUUCAAAUGACCAGUGAUGACCAUUUAAAUGGCAAUAUACUUAACUAUUUAACUGCUGAUCAAGAAGUGAGAGAAAUAUAAGGAAAAAGACAAACAUGAAGAUUUGCAUUUUUUUUUUUAGGAAUAUCUCAUUUAGGGGCCAUGAUUUUUAAAACAUUUUUCUUCGACAAGCCUAGAAACCAAAUAUUAAAAUAAAUAACAAACCAAAAAUAUCUUCCAUAAUUUUGAUGCUGCAUACUUUAAUAUUCAAGGCCACCUAUGGCUGUAACUUUUGACUUAACUUAUAUUUCAAGCUAUUUGAGCAGAGACAAUGAACCAGAUUUACUAGUAUUCUCUGAUUGGUUGUGUACCAUUACAUUUUGUCUGUUGUGUUUUACUAGACUGUAAAAUGUUAUGCACAUUUUGGUAUAAAUAAUAACAUCCUUCAAUUGACAAAAUUAAAAGAUAGGUGAUUUUUAUAAAAUGUUUAAUUUUGUUUCUGUUUGGCUCAGUUGUGUUUCAGUAGGGUCCUUGAAUGGCUCUCUGAUCACUUGGAUUUUGAGUUCCUGAUUUUGCAGUAGUAUGAUUUUAACACCUAUUGAUUUCCAUAGGAGUCAUACAUAGGCAGCAGCUCUAGAAUCACAUCCUGUAUCUAGCACAUUCUUACCUAUACUGAAAAUUUUGUCCAUUAGCUUAAUUGAAUACUAGUCCCCUUGACAGAAGUACAGCUGCAAAUGGAGAUGAGUUCUUUACUUUUUGCCUUUUACUAGAGUAGCCUAGAAGACAAUAUGUGUUUGCUAUUCAGUUUGUACAGCACCUAGCACAGCUCAAUCCUAAACAGGCCAUCCUGGCACUAUUGUGAUUUCUUCAAUAAGGGGCACAGAAAUAAUUAUUCUAUCACUGCACCUUACAUUUUCAGAGUGUAACACAUUUUAGGCACAGAGCUACCACUGAUGUUAAUGGAUGUUGUAUGCUUACUUCCCA